Molecule: transfer RNA, 67 nt
Filed under: Linuparus trigonus
Lineage: Eukaryota; Metazoa; Arthropoda; Malacostraca; Decapoda; Palinuridae
Description: tRNA-Ser
Source: RNAcentral
GAAAGAGUAUGUAAUAAGGAAAGCUUCUAACUUACCCUUAGAGCGGUUAAACUCCGUUCCUCCUUCU